This 229-nucleotide ribosomal RNA is filed under the name uncultured bacterium. RNAcentral's name for it is "partial 16S ribosomal RNA". It matches the Rfam family "Bacterial small subunit ribosomal RNA", at positions 314 to 535 of the family's 1533-position model. The record is from RNAcentral.
UGGAACUGAGACGCGGUCCAGAUUCCUACGGGAGGCAGCAGUAAGGAAUAUUGGACAAUGGGCGAAAGCCUGAUCCAGCCAUGCCGCGUGUGUGAAGAAGGUCUUCGGAUUGUAAAGCACUUUAAGUUGGGAGGAAGGGCAGUAAGUUAAUACCUUGCUGUUUUGACGUUACCGACAGAAUAAGCACCGGCUAACUUCGUGCCAGCAGCCGCGGUAAUACGAAGGGGGC